This is a long non-coding RNA of Bos taurus (domestic cattle), 627 nucleotides long. The record is from Ensembl. Lineage: Eukaryota; Metazoa; Chordata; Mammalia; Artiodactyla; Bovidae.
ACUGUCAAAACGGGAAGGAUUGGCCCCAAAGUCUCUUACCGCAUGACUGCCUCAGACGUGCGUACAUCUGUUAACUCUGUAGGAGCUGUAGAGGGAAAUAAGGCUGCCGAUAACUCAGAAGCUCGCUGUCCCGUCAAGAGGUGGGGGCUGCGGGCCUCGAGAAGAGAAUUUGAGAGGAGACAGCAGACUUCCACAUUUAAUCAUCUCGUGUGGGUUUUCAUCCUGCAUUAUCACCCUGCGUUCACCUGGACAAGCUGGUGCCCUGACCCGUAGAGGAAUGACUCCUAGGUGCUGCAGUCAGCAAGUGGAAAAACCACCACUUGACUUCGGGCCUUCCAGGGCAGAAUCCAGCUUCCUUUUUUCAACUUUGUUCUGCUGAGACAGGGCUUAUCUCAGAGACAGCAAGAAACAACGCCAAGUCUGACUGAUCAGCAGUGGCUGCCUGAGGGGCUGCGGGAAGAAGGAACUUGAAGCUGGAUCCAGAUUCCGCAGGAACGAGUUUGGUAAUCCAUUAGUAAUGUCUGCCAUGACUUGCUAUGGAGAACCGAGCAGUGACCCUCGGGGCCCAGGGUCCUCAGGUGGAUGCAACGUGACUGCUCGUGCAGAGGGCUGAGCACAGAGCUGGGC